Molecule: non-coding RNA, 380 nt
Organism: Pelobates cultripes (western spadefoot toad)
Lineage: Eukaryota; Metazoa; Chordata; Amphibia; Anura; Pelobatidae
Source: the annotation of a GenBank genome assembly
CACUACUUCUGAAGAUUUUAGAAUUUCUCAGGAUGUAUUUGCAGCAUUGGUUGUUGCCAGUUAUGACAGAUCUUAGCCACAUUUGUGAUGGUAUGGAAUAUUGACAGUGGCUUGGGACCAAGAUAUUGUGAAGAUUCCGCGCACGUCUUGGAUAUAUGUGGAUUAAGGAUGAUUUUAAGAUGUUAAUCUUGGUUCAAAAUCUGCCAGUAGCAUUCCAAAAUAUUAACACUGGCAUCCUUGACUACAGUCUCUUCCUCCACAGGGACCAUCUUAUGACUUGUAACCCUUUUUCCUUGAGAGUCUCAGGCUUAUCUGCCUCCUGUCUCACAGCUGUUAGAUUAGGAUGUCAGUGUUUCCCUGAGAAAGGAAGUCGGAUUAAU